GGGGUUGCCAAGGUCUCGACAUGAUCUAAUAAUCUUUUAAAGGCAGUGGGGUUUGCCCCUUAUAGCUCGAGGUCUUCUUAAAUGCAGACAAACAAGAAGCUAACGUUAACAUGGAUGAAGCUUUCAUGGCUAACCAAUUAGCAGCACAAAACUACAACUACGCAAUUGCCUAGUCGAUAGACUGUGUUCUUCGGGUAUUAGAGUUUACUAGUUACUUUAAUACAUUAUGAUAACUAGAUAUAUUGUUUCAAUGUUGAGUGAAACAAUGAAUUCCAUUCAACUACAGUCUAACAUAGGGUGUUCUAAUUCCUUUUGAUGUUAGAUGAACAGCUAAAUUAGGACUAAACUGUAGAAUUUAUUAGAGAGUUAAUUGUGGAAACGGGUUCGAUUCCCGUCAACUCCACCA
RNAcentral lists this transfer-messenger RNA (406 nucleotides) under Mycoplasmataceae bacterium. It matches the Rfam family "transfer-messenger RNA". From Rfam's summary of the family: Bacterial tmRNA, also known as 10Sa RNA or SsrA, is named for its dual tRNA and mRNA-like properties. The record is from RNAcentral. Lineage: Bacteria; Bacillati; Mycoplasmatota; Mollicutes; Mycoplasmatales; Mycoplasmataceae.